ACGCACGCUGGCGGCGUGCUUAACCCCUGCCAGUCGAACGGAAAGGCCCUGCUUUUGUGGGGUGCUCGAGUGGCGAACGGGUGAGUAACACGUGAGUAACCUGCCCUUGACUUUGGGAUAACUUCAGGAAACUGGGGCUAAUACCGGAUAGGAGCUCCUGCUGCAUGGUGGGGGUUGGAAAGUUUCGGCGGUUGGGGAUGGACUCGCGGCUUAUCAGCUUGUUGGUGGGGUAGUGGCUUACCAAGGCUUUGACGGGUAGCCGGCCUGAGAGGGUGACCGGCCACAUUGGGACUGAGAUACGGCCCAGACUCCUACGGGAGGCAGCAGUGGGGAAUAUUGCACAAUGGGCGGAAGCCUGAUGCAGCAACGCCGCGUGCGGGAUGACGGCCUUCGGGCUGUAAACCGCUUUCGCCUGUGACGAAGCGUGAGUGACGGUAAUGGGUAAAGAAGCACCGGCUAACUACGUG
RNAcentral lists this ribosomal RNA (467 nucleotides) under uncultured bacterium. Its description in RNAcentral is "partial 16S ribosomal RNA". It matches the Rfam family "Bacterial small subunit ribosomal RNA", at positions 29 to 507 of the family's 1533-position model. The record is from RNAcentral.